AUGUACUCUGCCGCCGGCCACCGCGUGCUUGUGCGCUGUUGCCCACGCCAGGCACCAGCGGCGGCGGAGCUCGCCCUAGAUGGUCGCCGUCGUUGCUACUGCUUGCGCGCGACUGCUUGCUUCGGUGCUGCUCAUGCCCGUGCCGCACGCCACCGGUGCUGCUUCCUCUUGUGCCCGGGCUGCGCGCCGCUGCUACUACCUGCGCACGGCUGCUUGCUCGGUGCUUGCUUCGGUGCUGCUCCUGCCUGUGUUGCACGCCACCGCUGCUGCUUCCUCUUGUGUUGCACGCCGCCGCCGCUGCUUCCUCCGAUGCUGAUCACCACCGCCGCAGCUUCCUACGAUGCCGCGCGCCACCGCCGCCGCUUCCUCCGGUGCUGCGCACCGCCGGCUAGGAAAAGAGAAAGGAGGGAGAAAGGAGAAGGGGGAAUCGCGGCCGGGAUGCACAGGAGGGAGGUGGCAGCGCAGGGAAGGCGGAGUCGUGCUGAUUGGGGUCGACCAGCGCUGGACUGGGAGGUUGACUUUGUUUAG
Molecule: ribosomal RNA, 528 nt
Filed under: Triticum aestivum (bread wheat)
Lineage: Eukaryota; Viridiplantae; Streptophyta; Magnoliopsida; Poales; Poaceae
Description: partial small subunit ribosomal RNA
Source: RNAcentral